UGAGCAAGGAAUUCGAUCGGGACA
RNAcentral lists this unclassified non-coding RNA (24 nucleotides) under Mus musculus (house mouse). Its description in RNAcentral is "oocyte_clustered_small_RNA12848". Lineage: Eukaryota; Metazoa; Chordata; Mammalia; Rodentia; Muridae. The record is from RNAcentral.